Long non-coding RNA from Notothenia coriiceps (black rockcod), 245 nucleotides. RefSeq lists it as uncharacterized. The record is from RefSeq and is a predicted model, not a curated record. The transcript has 3 exons. NCBI's taxonomy places the organism in Eukaryota, Metazoa, Chordata, Actinopteri, Perciformes, Nototheniidae.
CGGGAGGAUCCAGUACUUUCCAGAAGCACCUCUUCUCUCAAGAUCACAAAUUGAAGCCAAGCUGAAGAGGGAGAAGAUGAAGAAGGCAAAGAUGAUGAAGUCGUACCGUUGGAGUGCACACGUUCCUCAGUGAGAAUCCCAGUGAGUGUGAAGAGGGCGAACACCAGGAGAGAGAACCCGAUCGUCAGCACCUCCAGCUCAGUGAACGGAGAGGCCAUCUACACCACCUGCAGCUGGGAACGCUC